Molecule: ribosomal RNA, 253 nt
Filed under: uncultured bacterium
Lineage: Bacteria
Description: partial 16S ribosomal RNA
Rfam family: Bacterial small subunit ribosomal RNA
Source: RNAcentral
UACGUAGGGGGCAAGCGUUGUCCGGAUUUAUUGGGCGUAAAGAGCUCGUAGGCGGUUUGUCGCGUCUGCUGUGAAAACUGGAGGCUCAACCUCCAGCCUGCAGUGGGUACGGGCAGACUAGAGUGCGGUAGGGGAGAUUGGAAUUCCUGGUGUAGCGGUGGAAUGCGCAGAUAUCAGGAGGAACGCCGAUGGCGAAGGCAGAUCUCUGGGCCGUAACUGACGCUGAGGAGCGAAAGCAUGGGGAGCGAACAGG